RNAcentral lists this unclassified non-coding RNA (170 nucleotides) under Plocamium telfairiae. RNAcentral describes it as "ITS1". Lineage: Eukaryota; Rhodophyta; Florideophyceae; Plocamiales; Plocamiaceae. The record is from RNAcentral.
AUGUAUUCACAAUAAUUGGUUGAGCGACACUUGGCUCCCUUUUAUUUACAUUUUUCAGAUUCCGUGAAAGCUUUAGAUUUAUCCAUAUUUUUAUCCAAAAAAAACCUCGGUACUUUGAUACCACAUCCAGUAAUGGAAAAAACCAAUACAUAAAAGAAAAAAAAAAAACA